GGGUUGUGAGGUUAAGCGACUAAGCGUACACGGUGGAUGCCCUGGCAGUCAGAGGCGAUGAAGGACGUGCUAAUCUGCGAAAAGCGUCGGCGAGGUGAUAUGAACCCUUGACCCGGCGAUGUCCGAAUGGGGAAACCCAGUGUGUUCCGACACACUAUCGUUAACUGAAUACAUAGGUUAACGAGGCGAACCGGGGGAACUGAAACAUCUAAGUACCCCGAGGAAAAGAAAUCAACCGAGAUUCCCCCAGUAGCGGCGAGCGAACGGGGAGCAGCCCGGAGUCUGAAUCAGCUUGUGUGUUAGUGGAACGGUCUGGAAAGUCCGACGGUACAGGGUGAUAGUCCCGUACACGAAAAUGCACAGGUUGUGAACUCGAAGAGUAGGGCGGGACACGUGGUAUCCUGUCUGAAUAUGGGGGGACCAUCCUCCAAGGCUAAAUACUCCUGACUGACCGAUAGUGAACCAGUACCGUGAGGGAAAGGCGAAAAGAACCCCGGCGAGGGGAGUGAAAAAGAACCUGAAACCGUGUACGUACAAGCAGUGGGAGCACCUUCGGGUGUGACUGCGUACCUUUUGUAUAAUGGGUCAGCGACUUAUAUUCUGUAGCAAGGUUAACCGUAUAGGGGAGCCGAAGGGAAACCGAGUCUUAACUGGGCGUUAAGUUGCAGGGUAUAGACCCGAAACCCGGUGAUCUAGCCAUGGGCAGGUUGAAGGUUGGGUAACACUAACUGGAGGACCGAACCGACUAAUGUUGAAAAAUUAGCGGAUGACCUGUGGCUGGGGGUGAAAGGCCAAUCAAACCGGGAGAUAGCUGGUUCUCCCCGAAAGCUAUUUAGGUAGCGCCUCGUGAACUCAUCUUCGGGGGUAGAGCACUGUUUCGGCUAGGGGGCCAUCCCGGCUUACCAACCCGAUGCAAACUACGAAUACCGAAGAAUGUUAUCACGGGAGACACACGGCGGGUGCUAACGUCCGUCGUGAAGAGGGAAACAACCCAGACCGCCAGCUAAGGUCCCAAAGUCAUGGUUAAGUGGGAAACGAUGUGGGAAGGCACAGACAGCCAGGAUGUUGGCUUAGAAGCAGCCAUCAUUUAAAGAAAGCGUAAUAGCUCACUGGUCGAGUCGGCCUGCGCGGAAGAUGUAACGGGGCUAAACCAUGCACCGAAGCUGCGGCAGCGACACUAUGUGUUGUUGGGUAGGGGAGCGUUCUGUAAGCCGUUGAAGGUGUGCUGUGAGGCAUGCUGGAGGUAUCAGAAGUGCGAAUGCUGACAUAAGUAACGAUAAAGCGGGUGAAAAGCCCGCUCGCCGGAAGACCAAGGGUUCCUGUCCAACGUUAAUCGGGGCAGGGUGAGUCGACCCCUAAGGCGAGGCCGAAAGGCGUAGUCGAUGGGAAACAGGUUAAUAUUCCUGUACUUGGUGUUACUGCGAAGGGGGGACGGAGAAGGCUAUGUCAGCCGGGCGACGGUUGUCCCGGUUUAAGCAUGUAGGCGGAGGUUCCAGGUAAAUCCGGUACCUUUUAACGCUGAGGUGUGAUGACGAGGCACUACGGUGCUGAAGUGAUAAAUGCCCUGCUUCCAGGAAAAGCCUCUAAGCAUCAGGUAACACGAAAUCGUACCCCAAACCGACACAGGUGGUCAGGUAGAGAAUACCAAGGCGCUUGAGAGAACUCGGGUGAAGGAACUAGGCAAAAUGGUGCCGUAACUUCGGGAGAAGGCACGCUGAUAUGUAGGUGAAGCCCCUGCGGGCGGAGCUGAAAUCAGUCGAAGAUACCAGCUGGCUGCAACUGUUUAUUAAAAACACAGCACUGUGCAAACACGAAAGUGGACGUAUACGGUGUGACGCCUGCCCGGUGCCGGAAGGUUAAUUGAUGGGGUUAGCGGCAACGCGAAGCUCUUGAUCGAAGCCCCGGUAAACGGCGGCCGUAACUAUAACGGUCCUAAGGUAGCGAAAUUCCUUGUCGGGUAAGUUCCGACCUGCACGAAUGGCGUAAUGAUGGCCAGGCUGUCUCCACCCGAGACUCAGUGAAAUUGAACUCGCUGUGAAGAUGCAGUGUACCCGCGGCAAGACGGAAAGACCCCGUGAACCUUUACUAUAGCUUGACACUGAACACUGGUCCUUGAUGUGUAGGAUAGGUGGGAGGCUUUGAAGCGUGGACGCCAGUCUGCGUGGAGCCAUCCUUGAAAUACCACCCUUUAAUGGCUGGUGUUCUAACGUAGACCCGUGAUCCGGGUUGCGGACAGUGUCUGGUGGGUAGUUUGACUGGGGCGGUCUCCUCCCAAAGAGUAACGGAGGAGCACGAAGGUUGGCUAAUCCUGGUCGGACAUCAGGAGGUUAGUGCAAUGGCAUAAGCCAGCUUGACUGCGAGCGUGACGGCGCGAGCAGGUGCGAAAGCAGGUCAUAGUGAUCCGGUGGUUCUGAAUGGAAGGGCCAUCGCUCAACGGAUAAAAGGUACUCCGGGGAUAACAGGCUGAUACCGCCCAAGAGUUCAUAUCGACGGCGGUGUUUGGCACCUCGAUGUCGGCUCAUCACAUCCUGGGGCUGAAGUAGGUCCCAAGGGUAUGGCUGUUCGCCAUUUAAAGUGGUACGCGAGCUGGGUUUAGAACGUCGUGAGACAGUUCGGUCCCUAUCUGCCGUGGGCGCUGGAGAAUUGAGGGGGGCUGCUCCUAGUACGAGAGGACCGGAGUGGACGCAUCACUGGUGUUCGGGUUGUCAUGCCAAUGGCACUGCCCGGUAGCUAAAUGCGGAAGAGAUAAGUGCUGAAAGCAUCUAAGCACGAAACUUGCCCCGAGAUGAGUUCUCCCUGAGACUUUAAGUCUCCUGAAGGAACGUUGAAGACGACGACGUUGAUAGGUCGGGUGUGUAAGCGCAGCGAUGCGUUGAGCUAACCGAUACUAAUGAACCGUGAGGCUUAACCUUACAACGCCGAAGGUGUUU
RNAcentral lists this ribosomal RNA (2930 nucleotides) under Enterobacter cloacae. RNAcentral's name for it is "bacterial LSU rRNA". It matches the Rfam family "Bacterial large subunit ribosomal RNA". Lineage: Bacteria; Pseudomonadati; Pseudomonadota; Gammaproteobacteria; Enterobacterales; Enterobacteriaceae. RNAcentral also lists the same sequence under 1 other name. The record is from RNAcentral.